This 253-nucleotide ribosomal RNA is filed under the name uncultured bacterium. RNAcentral describes it as "partial 16S ribosomal RNA". It matches the Rfam family "Bacterial small subunit ribosomal RNA", at positions 524 to 776 of the family's 1533-position model. The record is from RNAcentral.
UACAGAGGGUGCGAGCGUUGUCCGGAAUCAUUGGGCGUAAAGAGCGUGUAGGCGGCCCGGUAAGUCCGCUGUGAAAGUCCAGGGCUCAACCCUGGGAUGCCGGUGGAUACUGUCGGGCUCGAGUCCGGAAGAGGCGAGUGGAAUUCCCGGUGUAGCGGUGAAAUGCGCAGAUAUCGGGAGGAACACCUAUGGCGAAGGCAGCUCGCUGGGACGUUACUGACGCUGAGACGCGAAAGCGUGGGGAGCAAACAGG